AGUAUUAAGGAUAUUUUGGUUGGUUGGCAAGUCUUAGAAGAUUUAACACAAGGGCCUGUUCGCUGUGGAGCUGGUCCCCUCCUUGUGGCUUAUUUCAGCUCCUGUGUAGGUACAUUUUUGUUGUAAUUUAUUCCACCUGUGUCUGUCAAUUCCUUUCCCCUUGCCUCCUCCCGUGGCAGUGUGGCUCAUAUUUCUUCAUAAGCUCUAAGCCAGUUAUUAAUAACAGUCCAGUGACUUUGUGAUCCACGUGGAACAUAUGGUGUUUUCCACAAGACAGUGCUCAUUCCCUUGACUUUGGAUUUCACUCACAGAACCCGCGAAGGUCUCCAAUUGUGAUCUUUGAUGGUCAACAUUGCUCUGACAUAUAGAGACACUGAGAUUUUGCUGCUUUUAAUUCCUGUCUUCAUGUUAGGACAGUGCACCAGGAGUAUUCUGAGUAUGACUGGGAAAAGCUGGAUAUUAAUUUCUACCACCACUCCCCAAAGUCUGGAAGAUGAAAUUGUGGAAAGACUUCUAAAAGUCUUAUUUGUUUUAUUUGUAGACCUAAUGUCUAUGGUGUAUGUUGUUGUAACUUCUUAGAAAGCCUCUUUGCUUUCCAUGUACAUUUCAAAUUGAAUUCCAGUGAAUAAAAAUGUGUAUUUUAAUAUGUUGAGUGAUGUUAAUUUGCUUUUAUCUUUUUAUUUUAAAGAGAGUAGUAAAAGAAAGAAAGAAUAGCAGCUAACAUUGCAAACAUAAACAAAACAAAGCAAUAUAACCAACACUGCAAACAUAAACAAAACAAAGCAAGG
This 788-nucleotide long non-coding RNA is filed under the name Chinchilla lanigera (long-tailed chinchilla). RNAcentral's name for it is "lncRNA (ENSCLAG00000026384.1)". The record is from RNAcentral. Lineage: Eukaryota; Metazoa; Chordata; Mammalia; Rodentia; Chinchillidae.